This 499-nucleotide ribosomal RNA is filed under the name uncultured bacterium. Its description in RNAcentral is "partial 16S ribosomal RNA". It matches the Rfam family "Bacterial small subunit ribosomal RNA", at positions 30 to 523 of the family's 1533-position model. The record is from RNAcentral.
UUGAACGCUGGCGGCAGGCCUAACACAUGCAAGUCGAGCGGUUGAGAGUAGCUUGCUACUUGAUGCAGCGGCGGACGGGUGAGUAACGCGUGGGAAUCUGCCCAGUAGUGGGGGACAACAGCCGGAAACGGCUGCUAAUACCGCAUACGCCCUACGGGGGAAAGGGGGGGAUCUUCGGACCUCUCGCUAUUGGAUGCGCCCGCGUCGGAUUAGCUAGUUGGUAGGGUAAAGGCCUACCAAGGCUACGAUCCGUAACUGGUCUGAGAGGAUGAUCAGUCACACUGGAACUGAGACACGGUCCAGACUCCUACGGGAGGCAGCAGUGGGGAAUAUUGGACAAUGGGGGAAACCCUGAUCCAGCCAUGCCGCGUGUGUGAAGAAGGCCUUAGGGUUGUAAAGCACUUUCAGUGGGGAGAAAGGUUUGUCACCUAAUACGUGAUGAAAUUGAUGUCACCCACAGAAGAAGCACCGGCUAACUCCGUGCCAGCAGCCGCCGUAA